Molecule: ribosomal RNA, 164 nt
Filed under: Graphistylis organensis
Lineage: Eukaryota; Viridiplantae; Streptophyta; Magnoliopsida; Asterales; Asteraceae
Description: 5.8S ribosomal RNA
Rfam family: 5.8S ribosomal RNA
About the family: 5.8S ribosomal RNA (5.8S rRNA) is a component of the large subunit of the eukaryotic ribosome. It is transcribed by RNA polymerase I as part of the 45S precursor that also contains 18S and 28S rRNA.
Source: RNAcentral
CAAACGACUCUCGGCAACGGAUAUCUCGGCUCACGCAUCGAUGAAGAACGUAGCAAAAUGCGAUACUUGGUGUGAAUUGCAGAAUCCCGUGAACCAUCGAGUUUUUGAACGCAAGUUGCGCCCGAAGCCUUUUGGCUGAGGGCACGUCUGCCUGGGCGKCACAC